CGCAGGGUGCCCCGGCCGUCCGCGAGGCACUGGCCGAGGCCGUCGACGUCCGGACCCGGGCGGGCGGCGUGGU
RNAcentral lists this transfer RNA (73 nucleotides) under Streptomyces mutabilis. The record is from RNAcentral. Lineage: Bacteria; Bacillati; Actinomycetota; Actinomycetes; Kitasatosporales; Streptomycetaceae.